UACGUAGGGAGCAAGCGUUGUCCGGAUUUAUUGGACGUAAAGAGCUCGUAGGUGGCUUGGCAAGUCAGGUGUGAAAAACUCCAGGCUCAACCUGGAGACGCCAUUUGAUACUGCCAUGGCUUGAGUUCGGUAGGGGACCACGGAAUUCCUGGUGUAGCGGUGAAAUGCGCAGAUAUCAGGAGGAACACCGAUGGCGAAGGCAGUGGUCUGGGCCGAUACUGACGUGAGGAGCGAAAGCGUGGGGAGCGAACAGG
RNAcentral lists this ribosomal RNA (254 nucleotides) under uncultured bacterium. RNAcentral's name for it is "partial 16S ribosomal RNA". It matches the Rfam family "Bacterial small subunit ribosomal RNA", at positions 524 to 776 of the family's 1533-position model. The record is from RNAcentral.